CGGGGCUUGAAUUCACUAACCGCGAGAUCAUGACCUGAGCCGAAGUCGGACGCUUAACCGACUGAGCCACCCAGGCGCCCCUACAUUUUAAAGUGUCCUGAUAUAUAUGGCUAACUUGCUUUCCCUUAAGGUGUUAUCAGUUUACACUUCCAUUGACCGUAUAUGAGAAUGUGUAUAUUACCACACUCUUGCCAACACUGAGAUCUUCAGUUUUUAAUGUAUCUAUUAAUUUACAAAAUACAAAUGUCAUCUCAUUGUGUCUUAACUUGCAUUUUUGAAGUUUAUUUAUUUAUUUUGAGAGAGACAGAGAGACAGAGAGACAGAGAGAGAGAACGAACGAACUCCAAGCAGGCUCUAUGCUGUCAGUGCAGAGCCCAACGUGAGGCUCGAACUCGCAAGCCAUGAGAUCAUGACCUGUGCCCAAACCAAGAGUCGACGCUAACCAACUGAGCUCCCCAAGCGCCCCUUAACUUGAAUUUUUGGAUUAAUAGUAAGGUUGAACGUUUUGCUCAUAUGUGUAUCAAUUAUUUGCAUUUCUUUUGUUCUACUAAUGUCUUAAUGUUUUUUGUCUUUACUAUAGAAAGGAUUGUCUGCUAUAUUUGCUACUAUAUAUAUAUAAAAUAUAACACACACACACACACACACACAUACACAAAUAUAUAUAUAAUUUUUUUCUUACCAAUUUGAUGUUCCUGGCAAACCUCUCAAGCAAAACCCAAAGGGAGACCCUUUGUACAUCUGUACAGUGAUCAACCCAAGGAUGUCCCAGGCCCCAGCAUUUCUUUAUAUACCAUUCUUUCUUGCCCUUAUCACCCACCUGCCUACCUUUACAUGAUACCUUUUAUGUGCUAAGCACUAGGACAUGGAGUUAAAAACAUGGCUCCUGCCCCAAAGGAACUCACAGUCAGUGGACCGAGUGUGUAUAUGUAAUCAGAGGCACUUAGAGAAAGCACUUUGGGUCACUAGGGCUCAGAGGUGGCUUGGGGAGAUGGGGGUAGAAGUCCUCGCCUGGCUUACACCAUCACAGGCAAGUUUCCUCUCGUCUACCAGGUGACAGCAAAGCACAGGAAGGCCAAUUAAAGAUCGAAGCACGAGUCUCCAAUUCAGCACCUUGACCAUGUGGUUUGGAAGCAAGAAGGAGGACAAGGUCUCUGGAGCCAAGGCGCUAAAGAAGAGAGAUGACUGCUGGCCCAUCCCACUACCUGCAGGAUCUCUCCGGCAAAAGCUGGAAGGAAGAGGAGACCGGUGCUGGUGCUUACUUCACACCUACAUGCCAGGCAAUCCCCCAUUUAAUCCUUGUGAUAACCCCGCCCUGGAGAGCAUUGCUCCUGAUUUCCAGAGGAGGAAACUGAGGUAGAGUUUUUCUGCUAUCUGACAUAAAGCAGAUGCUUGAUAAAUGCUUGUCAAGCUGAAUCAUCUUCAGGUUCUUGAGAAAUGCUAAAGCUUUCUGAAAACAUGAAGAACUGUAACUCAUAUUGUCCAUGUGCUUUGCUGUGCUGAAUGAGGUUCAGGAGGUACAAGACAGCAUUUACUGAGUUUCGGGUGUAUUCACACAGGAGAGAUGCUAACUGUCCCUCACACGUGUGCUCUCCCAUCUCGGGUCUGGACUCGUGGCUGCCCAGCUAAGGACGACAUUGCUCAGGUCCCCGUUUACCUAGGUGGGGCUGAGGCACUGGAUCGCACCUAUGGAAUUGAACAUCUCCUCAGUCUAGGUGGUUAGGAAGCAGGUCUGCCUCUUCUCCCUUUUCUCCUAUUUUGCAGAUGACUCUGAAGCUCUUGGGGAUGGAAGAGCCACAAGACAGAAGGAGUCUGGGUCUCUGAAUCAUGCCUGGAAUUAGGAAAUGUUGCCUGCCAACCAGGAACACUGCAUCAAACUGAUGCAUGGAUAAGAUAUAUGUACACAAGCCUCUGAAACUGUGGGGUCUGUUUCCUACCAUAACUGGCAUUAUCCUAGUAUAGUGGAUGUGGUUUAUAUUCCUGGGCCUCUUUGCCAGUGGACGUUCGGGGUGUGGCAGAUGAUCAGGGGACACAGAGCUCUGAUUAAGCCUUUCUUGUACUCCUUCCCUUAGGUCCUUCAACACGAGCAGCCACACCAGACUGUUCCCACCCCUUUUGGCCUCUCUGCAGUCCUCAUGAUGUCCCCUCAGGUCAUUAUACUCUUUUACACUGACAAUAUUCUACCUUGCCUUCACAGUGUCCCAUAUGUCACCCCCUCGGGGAAGCUGUCCGUGACGCCCCCUCCCGCAGGCAGAGUCAAUCAUCUCAUGUCUCUACGGUGAUUAUCAGACUUGUCCUGUUGCUGUUUCUUGACGACUCCUUCCCCACCCAGCCCUCCUCCACUGCGCUGUCUGGGCCAGGCGCCAGGCCCGACGCGUUUCUCCUUGCCCUGUCAAUACAGGCCUGACAGUACAGAGAUGGCGGGGAGCAAGUGGAAUCCAGCACUCCCGCUGGAGUGCCGAGGAACUGGCAGAACUCCUGGAGGGCUGGGUGGGUAGGACUCCAAGUCCAAAUCAGGCCCGCUGGGAAAGGGGGCUGCGAUCAGUCAGUGCCGUCUGCCACGGGUGUAGGUCGAGGUAGCUGCUAAAUGCAUGCCAUGCAUCUGCUAUCUCGGAUGAAAUGCACCCUGGUCAAUUAGAGGCGAGGGAAUACUCCAAAAUUCCAAAGCCUCCACACCUCAAUCCCAGCCGCUGCCCCAGCCAAGACAGCAGCCCUGGGGCCCUACGUGAUCUAGCUGCUCUGUGACUAUUGCGCCUCUGGCCUCCUGGCUGUCCACCUUCCCGUGCUCACGGAGGCCACUAGGUCCUCCUUGCCGUCACCCAGGCUCACCAAGCAUGCUCCCGGCUGCGGGGUCUCUGCAGGGAUGUGUCCUCCAUUGGGGAAAUUCCUCUCCUGGAUGACUGAGCCCCUUACCGCCUUCAAUUCUUUGCUCAAAUGCACCCCAAGGUUACUUUUCUCACCACUCUGUUUCAAGUCGAGACUUUCCUCCCCACUGACUUUCCUAUCUGAUGUUCCAGACUCCCCCACUUCCUAUUUUAUGUUGCCCUAUAGUCUCUUUUACUGCUCAACAUACUCUAUGACAAUCUUAUUUAUCUGUCCACGAGGGCAGCGUUUUGCUGCUUGUAUCCCCAGUGUCCCCCACAGUGCCGGGCUCACAGCAGACGGCCCAUAAAUAUUUGUUGGAAGAAUCGAUAGCGAAGAAGUGGGCAAGUCGAGGACUCAUGCUCGGGCCAUUUCCACUGUAACGAAAAGCUGCCCGUUUGCUCAGCAGCUAACUUGAAUGUGACCUGUAGGAUGUCCCAGCCAACAGAGCCUAAGGAGCCACUGCCCAGCGACCUGUUCUCUCUUCCCCACAGCUCACCAGCAAUUCGAGAGGAGGCCUCUAUCUGCUGGUUCCCUGCUGGUCCCCUGAACUUUGGAAUCCAUGUGUCUAUUAAUUUGUUAUCUAAUUAAGGACCACUAGGACUGCGCUUUUCCAGAAUGCCCUCGAACCAAACCAAUAUAGCAUAUGCGCAUUCUCAUCAA
Long non-coding RNA from Felis catus (domestic cat), 3522 nucleotides. RefSeq lists it as uncharacterized. The transcript is spliced from 2 exons. Lineage: Eukaryota; Metazoa; Chordata; Mammalia; Carnivora; Felidae. The record is from RefSeq and is a predicted model, not a curated record.